This is a small nucleolar RNA of Heterocephalus glaber (naked mole-rat), 103 nucleotides long. The record is from Ensembl. NCBI's taxonomy places the organism in Eukaryota, Metazoa, Chordata, Mammalia, Rodentia, Bathyergidae.
AUGCUCUUAUGAUUCAUAAGCAUGACGAUUAGGUUUUUACAUCAUCCUUGAGAUGUGUAUUCCUCAAACCUUAUUACAGCACUGGCACAUUACCUAUCUGAUG